UACGUAGGGUCCAAGCGUUAUCCGGAAUUACUGGGCGUAAAGAGUUGCGUAGGUGGCAUGAUAAGUCAGUAGUGAAAUGACGAGGCUCAACCUUGUGUCCAUUACUGAAACUGUCAAGCUAGAGAAUGUGAGAGGUAGCUGGAAUUCCCUGUGUAGGAGUGAAAUCCGUAGAUAUAGGGAGGAACACCGAUGGCGUAGGCAGGCUACUGGCACAUUUCUGACACUAAGGCACGAAAGCGUGGGGAGCAAACGGG
This 254-nucleotide ribosomal RNA is filed under the name uncultured bacterium. RNAcentral describes it as "partial 16S ribosomal RNA". It matches the Rfam family "Bacterial small subunit ribosomal RNA", at positions 524 to 776 of the family's 1533-position model. The record is from RNAcentral.